RNAcentral lists this ribosomal RNA (496 nucleotides) under uncultured soil bacterium. RNAcentral's name for it is "bacterial SSU rRNA". It matches the Rfam family "Bacterial small subunit ribosomal RNA", at positions 26 to 532 of the family's 1533-position model. The record is from RNAcentral.
AGAACGAACGCUGGCGGCAGGCUUAACACAUGCAAGUCGAACGGGUGUAGCAAUACAUCAGUGGCAGACGGGUGAGUAACACGUGGGGACCUUCCUAGGGGUACGGAACAACUCAGGGAAACUUGAGCUAAUACCGUAUACGUCCGUAAGGAGAAAGAUUCAUCGCCCCUAGACGGGCCCGCGUCGGAUUAGGUAGUUGGUGGGGUAACGGCCUACCAAGCCUACGAUCCGUAGCUGAUCUGAGAGGAUGAUCAGCCACACUGGGACUGAGACACGGCCCAGACUCCUACGGGAGGCAGCAGUGGGGAAUCUUGGACAAGUGGGCGCAAGCCUGAUCCAGCCAUGACCGCGUGAGUGAAGAAGGCUUUAAGGGUUGUAAAGCUACGUUUUACCAGGGUACGAAUAAGUGACGGUACCUGGAAGAAGUAACGACCCGGACCAAACUUCGUAGACCACGACAACGACCGACGGUAAAUCCGUUAGGACGGCGGGACGU